This 860-nucleotide ribosomal RNA is filed under the name uncultured bacterium. RNAcentral's name for it is "bacterial SSU rRNA". It matches the Rfam family "Bacterial small subunit ribosomal RNA", at positions 28 to 897 of the family's 1533-position model. The record is from RNAcentral.
GAUGAACGCUAGCGAUAGGCCUAACACAUGCAAGUCGAGGGGCAGCAUAGAGUAGCAAUACUUUGAUGGCGACCGGCGCACGGGUGAGUAACACGUAUGCAACCUACCUACAUCAGGGGAAUAACCCGGAGAAAUUCGGACUAAUACCGCAUAAUACAGGGAUGCCGCAUGGCAAUAUUUGUUAAAGAUUUAUCGGAUGUAGAUGGGCAUGCGUUCCAUUAGCUAGUUGGUGAGGUAACGGCUCACCAAGGCAACGAUGGAUAGGGGAACUGAGAGGUUUGUCCCCCACACUGGAACUGAGACACGGACCAGACUCCUACGGGAGGCAGCAGUGAGGAAUAUUGGUCAAUGGACGAGAGUCUGAACCAGCCAAAUCGCGUGAAGGAAGAAGGCUUUCGGGUUGUAAACUUCUUUUAUGAGGGACGAAAAAAAUGACGGUACCUCAUGAAUAAGCCACGGCUAACUACGUGCCAGCAGCCGCGGUAAUACGUAGGUGGCAAGCGUUAUCCGGAUUUACUGGGUGUAAAGGGCGUGUAGGCGGGACUGUAAGUCAGGCGUGAAAAUUAUGGGCUCAACCCAUAACCUGCGUUUGAAACUAUAGUUCUUGAGUGUCGGAGAGGUAAUCGGAAUUCCGUGUGUAGCGGUGAAAUGCGUAGAUAUACGGAGGAACACCAGUGGCGAAGGCGGAUUACUGGACGAUAACUGACGCUGAGGCGCGAAAGCGUGGGGAGCAAACAGGAUUAGAUACCCUGGUAGUCCACGCUGUAAACGAUGGAUACUAGGUGUGGGGGGUCUGACCCCCUCCGUGCCGCAGUUAACACAAUAAGUAUCCCACCUGGGGAGUACGAUCGCAAGGUUGA